Molecule: long non-coding RNA, 888 nt
Filed under: Gallus gallus (chicken)
Lineage: Eukaryota; Metazoa; Chordata; Aves; Galliformes; Phasianidae
Description: lncRNA (ENSGALG00010029086.1)
Source: RNAcentral
AGGAGAUCCCUGCCUACCUGAGGCCUUCCAAAGGGAACAGUCCCAGUGGGGCUGCUCUGCCACCUGGGCGAGGAGCCAAUGACCUGAGUGAUUCUGCAGCCUCGUAACCCAAAUGUUUUUCCACCAGUGAAGAGAGGAAGCAGGGGGCUGCUUCAAUUAAUGCUGUGCAGUGGGGAUAAGUGAUGCAUUUAAAGGAUUAACUCUUCCUUUUCCUUCGCCUAUCCUCUCUUUAGCAUGACAGCCAACAGAGAGUGUGAUAGAGCAAUCUCUAUCUUGUAUGUGACCACAAGAGAUUAAUUAAACAGUAAGCCCUAAUUACCGAGGCUAAGGCUGACCGACUUACCGUGCCUUGUAAAAUAGCUGAAUACUUAAUUUACGCUCCAGUGUGGACAUAACUUUCACCAUUAGCUGAAUAAACAACGAGCACCCAAGCUAAGCGGACCGCUUCCCUAAUAGAUGCACCAUUAUAAAUGGAGCUCUCCGUUGGUGUGGGCUCACUGGGGCUGCCUCCCAGCUACAAAGGGUUUUCGUGGGAAGGGGGAGCUGCUUUGCAGUGCGCCAACCUGCCCUAAGCCUGGGGGAUUCCCUCUCUGUCAGUACUCUUCAGCUUUCAGGCUGCUUAUCAAAGCCGUCAUCAUUUGCAUUUCACUGCAGGUUUGGGGGGAGAAAAAAAGGGAAGAUACCGAAAGGCAUAAAACAAAACCAAGCCCCAACUCCCAGUGCAAUGCGGUGGAAGUAGGGCACAUAGCUCCUUUUCUCUUUAUUUUUUUUCUCCCUUUCAAUAUCUGCCAUAAUAACAGUAAUAGAUUCUGAGAAGUGCAAGUUAAUCUGUAGCUCCAGAGCUUUUUAUUGUGUUUCUCCCUUUUUGUGCGUGUUAACCUUUCAAAU